GGACUUACUGAACACCUCCUUCAGGUCGAGGUAUUCAACGGGCACGUUAGACAAAUCCACUGCCUCCUCUAGAAACACAGAAUCAGACACAGACGAACAAGCAGACACUAAACAGGACUCAAGACACUUGUUACUCCACAUGGAUAUAGAGUUAUGACCCCAGUCAACUCUGGGGUUGUGUUGGGUGAGCCAAGGGUGGCCGAGAACUAAUGGUGCAAGGGGUGAGUCCAUGAGUAGGAAUGAUAGUGUCUCAGUGUGAUUGCCAGAAGUGAUGAGUGUGAUAGGUUCAGUGGUGUGAGAAAUGUUGGGGAGUUCUUGACCAUUGAGAGCGUUGACGGAUAUCUUGUGCGUGAGUGAGGUGAUAGGGAUCUGGAGUUUGUGAGCGAGCUUGAAGUCCAUGAAAUUACCCUCUGCUCCUGAGUCCAGUAAGGCUUGGGUGUCGUGCGUGUGGGUGGCCCAUCUUAGUCUUACCGGGAGGAGAGUAGAUGAUGAGGUCUUCUCUGUGGUGACACCACCCGAUAGUAGCCUCAUGUUUACUACCGGGCCUGAUCUUUUACCGGGCAGGAGUGGAUAAAGUGGCCCGCUCUACCACAGUAGAGACAGAGUCCUUGGGAUCUCCGCCUCUCCCUCUCUUCCCGGGAGAGGCGAGCUCUCCCCAGCUGCAUGGGUUCGUGAGCGGAGGCUGAACUGGCCGUGUUCCCGACGCUGGCAUGCCAGCCCUCCGUGUCGUUAUACGGUCUGUUAGGGCAUGCUCGGCGGCCAAUACGACUCAGACGAGCGUCGACACUCAGGGCUAGUUCCACUAGUCCAUUUAAACUCCUGGGAAGGUCCAGAACAUAAAUCUCCUUCUGGAUCCGGUCCUCCAGCCCAUGCAGGAACAUGUCCCACUGCGCCUCCUCGUUCCACUGACACUCAGCGGCCAGAGUGCGGAAUUGAAUGGAGUAUUCCGAUACUGAAUGGUCUCCUUGGCGAAGGUCAGCGAGUAGUCUGGCCGUCUCCCUACCCGCCACGGCCCGAUCGAAGACCCUUCUCAUCUCCUCGGAGAGUGUCUGGAAAGAGGUGCAGCAUAGGUCCUGGUUCGCCCACACCGCCGUUCCCCAGAGAGACGCUUUGCCUGAUAGCAGUGUGAGUACGAAUGCUACCUUAGACUGUUCACGGUUGAAGGUCCGUGGCUGCAACGAGAAAUGCAUGGAACAUCUCGUAAGAAAGGCUCUGCAAUAGUCAGGAUCACCUGAAUAACCCUCUGGUGUCGGUAGCCGUGGCUCUAGCUGGGAAUCCGGCUCUGGCGGGGCGGGUUGAACUGCCGGUGUAGGUGGCGCAGCGGAACCCCUCAGAUGUUGCAAUUGUUGGGUCAGCUGGGAUACCUGCGUCGAAAGGGCUUGUACUGCCCGACCUGUGCUGGAGAUGUUCUCCUCUUGUUGAUCCAUUCUCGUGAUACUGCGGGAAAGGAAUUCGGUCAGACUCGUUGAACUCGCUGCAUCCAUGGUCUGGUCAGAUCGUUCUGUUACAACACAGAGGCGGAUGCAAGAUGCAAGCAACGAUGGUUUUAAUGAAUGUAGUUCACAGCAGCAACAUGACAGACAGACUGUACUCAGAAGGAAUCCGACCCAGGAACUCGGGCGCAUCUUCCGAUCAUAACGUGCUGAGAAAACCAGGGAGUGUGUCCAGAUGAGUAGGAAGGAGCACAGCAGAUAAUCCACACAAGAGAAGAGCACGGACACACGACACAACCUCAGAGAAGAAACAACGAUCUGACAACAAGAAACACUGGUAACAGAACAUAUAAAGGGAAGAUAAGUGGUUCCAGCUGGCGCAGACAAUCAGGCCGAGAUUGGGAAACCACGCCCACACAAACACUGGAGAGAGAGAGAGAGAGAGAGAGAGAGAGAGAGCGAGAAAGAGAGACGGAGGCAGUGGAUUCAUGAACCGUGACAAAUAUGACCAAACAGUUCUAGGAGACGGAAGAUGAAUAUAUAUGUUGUUUGGGAGAAUUAACUAAAUGCAUAUUCCAUUGUCCUUCUACACUACUGGUGUUAAAUUAACAGUGUGUUUGUGAAGUCAUGAUGUUCUCUUUGUCAGGCUGUCAGGCUGUGGAGUCACAGAGGAAGGCUGUGCUUCUCUGGUCUCAGCUCUGAGGUCAAACCCCUCACACCUGAGAGAGCUGGACCUGAGUAACAAUGACCUGAAGGAUUCAGGAGUGAAGCUGCUCUCUGCUGGACUGGGGAAUCCCCACUGUAAACUGGAGACUCUGUGGCUGUCAGGCUGUCUAGUCACAGAGGAAGGCUGUGCUUCUCUGGUCUCAGCUCUGAGGUCAAACCCCUCACACCUGAGAGAGCUGGACCUGAGCUACAAUCACCCAGGAGACUCAGGAGUCAGACUGCUCUCUGCUGGACUGGAGGAUCCACACUGCAGACUGGAGAAACUCAAUGUGGAACAUGGUGGAGAGAACAGAAUGAAACCUGGACUUAGAAAAUAUGUCUGUGAUCUCACACUGGACCCAAACACAGUAAACAGACGCCUCUCUCUGUCUGAGGAGAACAGAAAGGUGACAUGGAGGAGAGAGGAGCAGCCGUAUCCUGAUCACCCAGAGAGAUUUGAGGUCUGGGGACAGGUGCUGUGUAGAGAGGGUCUGACUGGGCGCUGUUACUGGGAGGUAGAGUGGAGUGGGGGGCUGUUAUAGGAGUGACAUAUAAAGGAAUCAACAGGAGAGGAGGGGGUGAUGACUGUUGGCUUGGACACAAUGACAAGUCCUGGAGUCUGUUCUGCUCUGACAACAGAUACAGAGCCUGUCACAAUAAUAAUCUCACUACCAUAGACGUCCCCUCCUCCAGCCCCCACAGAGUAGGAGUGUAUCUGGACUGGCCAACCGGCACUCUGUCCUUCUAUAGAGCCUCCUCUGACACACUGUCCCACCUGAUCACAUUCACCCCCACAUUCACUGAGCCCCUCUAUCCAGUUAUUAGGGUUUGUUAUGACUCCUCAGUGUCCCUGAAAUAAUAACUUGACACACACACACACACACAGGACACACAUUCUCUCUGUCAGUGAUGCAUGCUGGACAAACACACACGCUGGACACACACACACACUGGACUUGAACACACUGGACUCACACACACACUGGACACACACACACACACACACACACACACACACUGUACAAACAAAUACACACACACACACACGACAAACAAACACACACAAACAGUGGGUACACACACACACACUGGACACACACACACACACAGGACAAACACACACACAGGACAAACACACACACAGGACAAACAGAUACACACACACACACUGGACAAACACACACAUGUGCGUCUUCCUAUAGUUGUGAGGACCUCUUCCAAUAACACCGUUAAAAUUCCAAUGUGAUAAUUUGUUGUCUUUUAUGUUGAAAAACAAAUUGUAUAAUUAUAUAUGGACAUACGCUCCAUAGUUGUACAAGUAUACAAGGAUAUAUUGUACUUUUCAUAAUAAAACAUACUUGAAACAAGAAAA
This is a long non-coding RNA of Oncorhynchus masou masou (cherry salmon), 3510 nucleotides long. RefSeq lists it as uncharacterized. The record is from RefSeq and is a predicted model, not a curated record. The transcript has 4 exons. NCBI's taxonomy places the organism in Eukaryota, Metazoa, Chordata, Actinopteri, Salmoniformes, Salmonidae.